Molecule: ribosomal RNA, 497 nt
Filed under: uncultured bacterium
Lineage: Bacteria
Description: partial 16S ribosomal RNA
Rfam family: Bacterial small subunit ribosomal RNA
Source: RNAcentral
GACGAACGCUGGCGGCGUGCCUAAUACAUGCAAGUUGAGCGCUGACGGUUGGUACUUGUACCAACUGGAUGAGCAGCGAACGGGUGAGUAACGCGUGGGGAAUCUGCCUUUGAGCGGGGGACAACAUUUGGAAACGAAUGCUAAUACCGCAUAAAAACUUUAAACACAAGUUUCAAGUUUGAAAGAUGCAAUUGCAUCACUCAAAGAUGAUCCCGCGUUGUAUUAGCUAGUUGGUGAGGUAAAGGCUCACCAAGGCGAUGAUACAUAGCCGACCUGAGAGGGUGAACGGGCACAAUGGGACUGGGACAAGGGCCAAGAUCCUAAGGGGAGCAGCAGGAGGGGAUCUUCGGCAAUGGACGGAAGUCUGACCGAGCAAAGCCGGGGGAGGGAAGAAGGUUUUCGGGUCGUAAAACUCUGUUGGUAGAGAAGGACGAGGGUGAGAGUGAAAAGCUCAUCAAGUGACGGUAACUACACAGAAAGGGACGGCUAACUACGUG